UACGGGAGGCAGCAGUGGGGGAUAUGGACAAUGGGGAAACCUGAUCCAGCGAUGCCGCGUGAGGGAAGAAGUUUUCGGAUUGUAAACCUCUGUGGAGGGGGACGAUAAUGACGGUACCCUCAAGGAAGCCACGGCUAACUACGUGCCAGCAGCCGCGGUAAUACGUAGGUGGCGAGCGUUGUCCGGGAAUUACUGGGUGUAAAGGGAGUGUAGGCGGGAAAGCAAGUCAGAAGUGAAAACUAUGGGCUCAACCCAUAGCGUGCUUUUGAAACUGUUUUUCUUGAGUGAGGCAGAGGCAAGCGGAAUUCCAAGUGUAGCGGUGAAAUGCGUAGAUAUUUGGAGGAACACCAGUGGCGAAGGCGGCUUGCUGGGCCUUUACUGACGCUGAGGCUCGAAAGCGUGGGGAGCAAACAGGAUUAGAUACCCUGGUAGUCCACGCCGUAAACGAUGAUAGCUAGGUGUGGGGAGCGAACCUUUCCGUGCCGGAGUAAACACAAUAAGUUAUCCACCUGGGGAGUACGGCCGCAAGGCUGAAACUCAAAGGAAUUGACGGGGGCCCGCACAAGCAGUGGAGUAUGUGGUUUAAUUCGAAGCAACGCGAAGAACCUUACCGGGUCUUGACAUCGAGUGAAAGGCUAAGAGAUUAGUCCCUCUCUUCGGAGACACGAAGACAGGUGGCGCAUGGUUGUCGUCAGCUCGUGUCGUGAGAUGUUGGGUUAAGUCCCGCAACGAGCGCAACCCUUAUCAUUAGUUGCUACGCAAGAGCACUCUAAUGAGACUGCCGUUGACAAAACGGAGGAAGGUGGGGAUGACGUCAAAUCAUCAUGCCCUUUAUGACCCGGGCUACACACGUACUACAAUGGCGUUUAACAAAGAGAAGCGAAACUGCGAAGUGGAGCAAAACUCAAAAAAACGUCUCAGUUCAGAUUGCAGGCUGCAACUCGCCUGCAUGAAGUCGGAAUUGCUAGUAAUCGUAGGUCAGCAUACUACGGUGAAUACGUUCCCGGGCCUUGUACACACCGCCCGUCAAACCAUGAGAGUUGGCAACACCCGAAGUCGGUAGUCUAACCGCAAGGAGGACG
This 1082-nucleotide ribosomal RNA is filed under the name uncultured bacterium. RNAcentral's name for it is "bacterial SSU rRNA". It matches the Rfam family "Bacterial small subunit ribosomal RNA", at positions 340 to 1452 of the family's 1533-position model. The record is from RNAcentral.